CCUACGGGAGGCAGCAGUGGGGAAUAUUGCACAAUGGGCGAAACCCUGAUGCAGCGACGCCGCGUGUGGGAAGACGGUCCUCUGGAUUGUAAACCACUGUCACCAGGGACGAAGAUGACGGAACCUGGGGAGGAAGCUCCGUCUAACUACGUGCCAGCAGCCGCGGUAAGACGUAGGGAGCAAGCGUUGUCCGGAAUUACUGGGUGUAAAGGGAGCGUAGGCGGGAUGGAAAGUUGGGUGUUAAAUCUACCGGCUCAACUGGUAGUCGCACUCGAAACUGCAAUUCUUGAGUGAAGUAGAGGCAGGCGGAAUUCCUGGUGUAGCGGUGAAAUGCGUAGAUAUUAGGAGGAACACCGGUGGCGAAGGCGGCCUGCUGGGCUUUUACUGACGCUGAGGCUCGAAAGUGUGGGGAGCAAACAGGAUUAGAUACCCUAGUAGUC
Molecule: ribosomal RNA, 440 nt
Filed under: uncultured bacterium
Lineage: Bacteria
Description: partial 16S ribosomal RNA
Rfam family: Bacterial small subunit ribosomal RNA
Source: RNAcentral